This 264-nucleotide ribosomal RNA is filed under the name Bradyrhizobium japonicum. RNAcentral describes it as "partial 16S ribosomal RNA". It matches the Rfam family "Bacterial small subunit ribosomal RNA", at positions 46 to 334 of the family's 1533-position model. RNAcentral also lists the same sequence under 14 other names. Lineage: Bacteria; Pseudomonadati; Pseudomonadota; Alphaproteobacteria; Hyphomicrobiales; Nitrobacteraceae. The record is from RNAcentral.
AGGCUUAACACAUGCAAGUCGAGCGGGCGUAGCAAUACGUCAGCGGCAGACGGGUGAGUAACGCGUGGGAACGUACCUUUUGGUUCGGAACAACACAGGGAAACUUGUGCUAAUACCGGAUAAGCCCUUACGGGGAAAGAUUUAUCGCCGAAAGAUCGGCCCGCGUCUGAUUAGCUAGUUGGUGAGGUAAUGGCUCACCAAGGCGACGAUCAGUAGCUGGUCUGAGAGGAUGAUCAGCCACAUUGGGACUGAGACACGGCCCAA